Molecule: ribosomal RNA, 386 nt
Filed under: uncultured Ehrlichia sp.
Lineage: Bacteria; Pseudomonadati; Pseudomonadota; Alphaproteobacteria; Rickettsiales; Anaplasmataceae
Description: bacterial SSU rRNA
Rfam family: Bacterial small subunit ribosomal RNA
Source: RNAcentral
UCAAUUAUUUAUAGCCUCUGGCUAUAGGAAAUUGUUAGUGGCAGACGGGUGAGUAAUGCGUAGGAAUCUACCUAGUAGUACGGAAUAGCCAUUAGAAAUGGUGGGUAAUACUGUAUAAUCCCCGAGGGGGAAAGAUUUAUCGCUAUUAGAUGAGCCUACGUUAGAUUAGCUAGUUGGUGAGGUAAUGGCUUACCAAGGCUAUGAUCUAUAGCUGGUCUGAGAGGACGAUCAGCCACACUGGAACUGAGAUACGGUCCAGACUCCUACGGGAGGCAGCAGUGGGGAAUAUUGGACAAUGGGCGAAAGCCUGAUCCAGCUAUGCCGCGUGAGUGAAGAAGGCCUUCGGGUUGUAAAACUCUUUCAAUAGGGAAGAUAAUGACGAGUAC